Molecule: long non-coding RNA, 2760 nt
Organism: Micropterus dolomieu (smallmouth bass)
Lineage: Eukaryota; Metazoa; Chordata; Actinopteri; Centrarchiformes; Centrarchidae
Exons: 2
Source: RefSeq, a predicted model, not a curated record
UCUUUCCUAUGCCAGGUGUUCAGUUAUAAUAUUCAUAACUCCUGAAUGAAGUACUGAAGUAUAUCUUUGUUGUGUUUUGUAGCUGCUGCAAUCAUUCAGGUGGAAGAUGAGAGCACUGGAGCAGUAGAGAACAUCAUAGUGAAGAAGGAGGAUGGCGAUGCCUCUGUAGCGACACCGCUGGAGCAGGGAGUGGCCCUGACUGUGGAGGGGGUGGGGCUAGACGGGGAAGGGGUGGAGACUGUUGAGCUGGCUGUGAAUGAGGAAACAGCGGCCGCUGCUGCCAACGGAGAUCUGACACCAGAGAUGAUCCUCAGCAUGAUGGACCGGUGAACAGAACAGCCACACGCAUGUAGCCGGACUAUGAGUCAGAUUGGCAAAUACACAUUAACAUUUCCACAUCCUUGGCCUUCACCUGAUGUUCCAUCUGUGUGAGCUUUUAAAGGCAGCCAUUUUGCCUCCAUUGAAGUGGCUGCAAAAAUGGUGGCAGCAAAAACAACCAUGUACAAAGAAGGGAAGCUGCAUGUAAAUACUUAGAAAGUAACUUCAAAUCCAUGUACAUCGACCUGCAUACUGAUGUUUGUGGGACACACACACACACACACACACACACACACAAAAUACGCAAUCCCACUGCACAUACUUGUGUCAUCUCCACAUCAUAUACAAAUAUUAUCAAGCUAAUUACAGACUACUCCCUGCUCUUAAAUGCUUAUUUUCAGUUUGAAUGUCUUCUGAAUGAAUCAUUGUGGAUUUUGUUACUUUUUUUUCUACCCAAAGCCACAUCCUGUGUCAGUCUGUGCCGUUCAUGUUCAGCUCCUCCUCAUGUUGCUCUGCCAAAGGAGACAUUAUUUGGUCGACCUUCACUUUUCACUUUGUUUUUCUUCUGGCCUGCUUGCUGUUCUCUUGCAACCAUGCUGAUUUGGCAAAUUCCAAGCCUUUCUAUGUGUAUAUAUAGAUAUAAAUGUAGUAUUUCCUAAUGAAAUGUAGUACACGGUACUCAAGUUUGCCUCUGAGAUACCACUUGCUCUCAGUCAUAUGAUGUGUAUAUUUUUCCCCCCAUAGUAUGAUUUCCGCCUUGGCCUGUGUAAACACAGGGUCAGUGUUGUGGUGUUAGUAUUUGGCUGUUUGUAUAUGGAGGCUUUUAUCGUAGGAUCAGAAGGAUUCUUCUUUAUACAUGAGCAAAUGGGCACAGGCAGAUACCGUCAAAUGAAUGAAGUCAGUGAGUCAGCUGCCCAGUUCACCACCACUCAACCUUGUUUUAAUGGAAAUCCGCCCUCAGUCAACUCAGGCAAAUUAAAUACUUGAGGUUGCUGCUAAUUUAGUUUCCCAGCACUAACAUAGUUUGAGAUGAAGUUCAUUAUCAGCUGUUUCCCCCCCUACCUAUCACUGAUCCCUGCUGGUGGGUACAGAUAAGUACAGAUAAUCUUGAUUUAGGUGGUAGAAUAUUGUAAUAUAGUUGUGAUUUUGAACAUUCCAACUACUUUAAUUAAUAUGGAAUUAUGUCUAUGCAUCUGAAUCAGUUCACUUGAAGUAAUCAGCAGUAAUAAACUCCAACAUGUUUUGCAAGCUAAUACCAGCCACCCCCCACAGCAAUCCAUGAUCACCAAACAUGGUUUGCAUGUAACAACAUUUUAAACCCUUUGCUUUUUGAUUUCUUGUGAACCAUUUUUAAUGUAUUUAAAUGGCUGACUUUGACAUGUGUUGGUUAAAAGUUUUUUUCAGUGUCAUACCUUGUCCUCCACGCCCUUAGCCUGUAAAGGUGAUUUGCAGAAUGACCUUUCCAUUGUGCUUUCCUUCCACAGAUAAGCUCUUCUUAACCAAACUGAACUAUCUGAACCACUCGUGUUUCUGUCUGUAUUCUGUUGCUCAUGACCAUUUUGGAUCUGCUCUGAUACUGUUCUACGUUUUUCAUGUUUGGCCAUUUUGCAGUUUCUGUGCAGUUGGUUCGGUUCAGUGGUGUGACAGAAGCGUAGUCUUAUUCAGUUUAACCUUUUGGCCCAAAGGUGUGAGAUUAGUUUGACGUAUAAGGAACAAGAGCUUUUGGAGAAUUUGCUGAAAGAAAAAACAGUUUGGCAACCAUCUAAAAGCUUUAAUAAUGUUUUUGAUUGGUGACAGUUUUUAGAAGCUCUGUAUUUGUUUGCUGUGCUAUGUGACUUAAUUGGGUAGUCCAAAUCAGCCCUGAACUGAGGCCCGUUUAGCCCAAGUCUUGCAAUUCCAGUAGCCCUGAGCUGUCGGAUGGUGUGCAUUUGCAGCUGAUACCAAGGUGUGUCUUUACCUUGGCCCACGCCAGUCACUCCAAAUCAGAGCCUAGUUUUCUUUACAAAAACACAGGAUUAGGAUCAAGGUUAGAACUAAAUGAAUCUUCAUGGUCAGAAUCUCAACAAAUCAUAUGAUUUGAGUCUUCUGAAGGUGUGAAUCCUUAGACUAGGGCUAAAAGCUCUGCAGUGACAGUUUGACCACAGGUUAUGAUGGUUGUUAUGUGGCCUUCCUUCCAGGCUGUAAGGAACCAUGGACACAGAGAUAGCAGUGCCAAGAUACUGAUACUAAAAGAAGGAGGACGGAUGGAAGAUGGAUGUUCGACUGUUCCCAUAGCGACAGUAUUGUUUUUUUGUUUGCACAUAGCUUUGCUUUGUUUGUUUGUUUUGGCAGAAGAAUUGAGAGAACAGUUUUAAGGUGGUUUUAACCACAUUACUGUUUUAAGACCAAGAAAACAGAUGAGGCACUGUACAGCUGAUGAAAAAUAAAAUCCUCCUAACGGGU